CCGCAUUUUUUGCCGAUCAGCACACAUUGGAAUUUCGCUAACUCCUCCGAAGGCUUUCAUUCCACCGGUACCACAUUUGCUCAGGCCAAUCUACACCCCAUGGCCAUUAAAAGUUAUUCAAAUCAUGACGCUGCAUCCCACGGUUUAGGUUCUAGGGGGCGCCAAAGAUAACCCUAAAAUCCACAUAUUUAAAAGUCUUAUAACUUUUUAUUUUUGUCCUCACUGGCCUCCAAGUUUUCUAGGAUGAUGCAAUGUCCAGCCAUCAACACAUUUGUGAAGGAAUUUUUACUGCCCAAAAGAGCGCCCCCCCAUGGCAGGAAAAAAAAGCCAAUUUUUUCUUGUCCCCUAAGGUGGAAAUUCACACUAUUGACUGUCACGCCUGUACGCUUUAUCAUAUUCACACAAAAAUUGACACACAUAUGUAUCUCAAUAAGAUCUACAAAAGAGUCGAUUCGCGCGUAUCUGUCAAAUGUACGGUUAAAGGGCUAUUUUGCAUUUUUUGCCGAUUCGCACACAUUGGAAUGUGGCUAACUCCUCCUAAGGCUUUCGUCCCACUGACACCAAAUUUGCUCAGGCCAAUCUACACCCCAUGGCCAUUCAAAGUUGUAAAAAUCAUGACGCUGCACCCCACGGUUUACGUUCUAGGGGGCGCCAAAGAUGACCCAAAAAUCCACAUUCUUCAAAGAAUCCACAUCCCCCCCCCCCAUAUGGCAGGAGAAAAAGUUAAGUUUUUCCUGCCCAUCGCUCAAUGGCUCAAUCGCAUCGCUCUCCAGGCAACACCGUAAGGAGGAGCAACCUGCCAUUUCGAUAUAUCAUAGCUGUGUUUGUGCCCUCACUCAUGGUCCAGACUUUUUUCAAAUAGGACAUGAAGUUUGUCUGCAGCGAGUGUUUUGGUAGAAACUGCGCCUCCCAUUCAUUAUAAUAGGAAAUGACCACAGACAAGUGCGCACACCAUCUUUGGAUCUUGAGUGUGACGCGAUCGGGAGGGGGAGGCGGUCGCACUGGGGGCGGCGCGACACGGCUCGGGCCCGACAGUGCCCCAACGGGGUCCUAGUUCUUUCUUUCUUUCUUUCUUUCUUCUUUUUCCUCCCCUUUGAACUGGAAAAUGGCCCACUUCCCACUGGCGAAAACUCAUGAAAUUUGGCAGGACGACCGGGCCUGGUGAAAAAUUCGAUAUUCUGAAGUCGCCCAAACAAUAAAAUGCAAAAUGGCUCCAUAGCGCCCCCUAAGGUGGAAAUUCACACUAUUGACUGUCACGCCUGUACGCUUUGUCAUAUUGACACAAAAAUUGACACACAUAUGUAUCUCAAUAAGAUCUACAAAAAAGUCAGUGCGGCCGUAUCUGUCAAAUGUACGGUUAAAGGGUUAUUUCGCAUUUUUUUCCAAUCCGCACACAUUGGAAUUUCGCUAACUCCUCCGAAGGCUUUCGUUCCACCGGCACCACAUUUGCUCAGGCCAAUCUACACCCCGUGGCCAUUAAAAGUUAUCAAAAUCAUGACGCUGCACCCCAAGGUUUAGGUUCUAGGGGGCGCCAAAGAUAACCUUAAAAUCCACAUAUUUAAAAGUCUUAUAACUUUUUAUUUUUGCCCUCACUGGCCUCCAAGUUUUCUAGGAUGAUGCAAUGUCCAGCCAUCAACACAUUUGUGAAGGAAUUUUUACUCCCCAAAAGAGCGCCCCCCCAUGGCAGGAGAAAAAAGUCCAUUUUUUCUUGUCCCCUAAGGUGAAAAUACACAUUGUUGAGUGUCACGCCUGUACGCUUUGUCAAAAUGACACAAAAAUUGACACACACAUGUAUCUCAAUAAGAUCUACAAAAAAGUCCAUGAGCGCGUAUCUGUCAAAUGUACGGUUAAAGGGUUAUUCCGCAUUUUUUGCCGAUUCGCACACAUUGGAAUUUCGCUAACUCCUCCGAAGGCUUUCGUUCCACCGGCACCACAUUUGCUCAGGCCAAAUUACACCCCAUGGCCAUUAAAAGUUAUUCAAAUCAUGACGCUGCACCCCACGGUUUACGUUCUAGGGGGCGCCAAAGAUAACCCAAAAAUCCACAUUUUUAAAAGUCUUAUAACUUUUUAUUUUUGUCCUCACUGGCCUCCAAGUUUUCUAGGAUGAUGCAAUGUCCAGCCAUCAACACAUUUGUGAAGGAAUUUUUACUCCCUAAAAGAGCGCCCCCCAUGGCAGGAGAAAAAAGUCCAUUUUUUCUUGUCCCCUAAGGUGAAAAUACACAUUGUUGACUGUCACGCCUGUACGCUUUGGCAAAAUGACACAAAAAUUGACAAUCAUGUGUAUCUCAAUUAGAUCUACGAAAAAGUCAAAGAGCGCGUAUCUGUAUAAUGUACGGUAAAAGGACUAUUUUGCAUUUUUUGCCGAUUCGCACACAUUGGAAUUUCGCUAACUCCUCCUAAGGCUUUCGUCCCACUGACACCAAAUUUGCUCAGGCCAAUCUACACUCCAUGGCCAUUCAAAGUUGUAAAAAUCAUGACGCUGCACCCCACGGUUUACGUUUUAGGGUGCGCCAAAGAUGACCCAAAUAUACAUUACAGUAGACAAAGUAGUUUUGCCCACUGAGUGGCGCCAAAGGGACUUGUCUGUGGAGUCUGUGAGUCACUAUUGGCCGUUUUUGACUACUUUAGAUUUUACCUUUAUAUUUCCUCUUACAAAAUUUUUACCUUGCCUUGCCUGGUAUCAUUUUUUUCAGCACAACCUCACCUGUGUCAAUUUACAGUUAUUUUAUCAUUUUGACAUACUAUAUUUACACAUUGGACCCAAAUUCACACACAAAACAUAAAAUCCGAGUGGAAAAAAGUAACGUUUUUACUGUGAAAACCACAAAUAUGUGUGAUGAACUGUUUUUAAAACUUAAACUUCAAAUAAAAAUUGUAAACUUCAAAACAUAUGCAAAUUUUUAACAAAGAACAUAGUAAUUUACCUCUAUUUACAUCAAAAUGCAGGCAAUGGCCCAGGUGUUCUUUGUAAAAUUAUUUACAAAACACUGUAUAGUCUCACAAAUGUCACUUUUUAUUUAUGCCACUACAAAAAAACAUGAUGUUAAUGAUGCAUGAUGUAAAACAUGAUGUAAAAAACUUGUGUAGAUCCUCCUCUAUGUUAGUCCAUGUGUAAUUUUUCCAUAAUUCUUUGUUUUUUGCAGCAUUUUUGUUAGUGUAACUGCAGAUUGUGCUGACAGUGUCUAUGGCAAAAAAAAAAAAAAAAAUUAAAAUGCCUCAACAUGAACCCCUGGUGGUCUCUGAGGGUGAAACCUGCUAACUGCUGCAGCUCUGUCAGCUUCAGUCUCCCAUGCAGAGCUCGGAGCGCAUGUGUGGCUCUGCACCCUUAGCAGCGUUGCUAACUCCUCAGUAAGGAAAGCCUGCUUCAUGUCAGAGUCUCUAAACUCCAGAAGAAGUCGAUAAAAGUCACUUUCUUUCUAAAAAAAAAGUCAUUAGGGGGUCUGAAAAGUCAUUGAAUCUAACAACAAAGUCGCUAGGUUUGCAACUACGUGUCCCAGACUGCAUCCCUGCUGAGAGUCCCUCCCUCCCUCCCUUCUCAUAUUGCAGGAAGAACGUAAGCGCCCGCCCCUUGUCAAUCAGUCACCAUAUAAUUUUGGAUUGGUUGUUGUGGUGAAGUUUUCCACCAAUAGGAGAGAUGUUGUGGUGUGUUUUUUUUUUCCUUUGGCAAGCCUUUUCCGCCUGUAAGACCUGUCGCUAAUGUCUGCAUGCUAUGUUUUCCUGUCUCAUACAGCGCGAUCAGCGCAGAACGUGAUCAAAAUAAGCAGAAAAAAAGUAUCACGGACAUAAUUUAUCAUAACUCUGGUUUUAUUUGGCCUAUCAACACAAUUUAAAAACUGGUAUAUAGGUUGAGGUCCUCACUUUUGAGAUAAGUUGAAACGGAGAGUCAACGAGGCUCCGUCUUGCAGCUACAUCCGUUUAAAUAUGUCAUGUGACUUGAACGCACACACACACACACACACACACACAGACACACACACACAAGCACACACACACACUCAGAGUCUGGUUUUUAGCACCUGCAAAAACAUGCUAUUUACAUAUUUGACAAGAAUGCAGAGGCUCCUUUUGCCCCUGAAAAAAAUCAAAUUUCAAACACAACUUGACUGGUCAUUUCUCCAAAAGACAACCAUGAAGCUCCAUCCAAACCUGAAGCAGGCAGUUGGUGCAUGUGUACAGUAACCUGAGGGGAGUGAGGUGACUGCUUCUGAGGAGAACAUGAGCAGUGAAGAUUCACCUUAGAGCUAGAACAGAGACGUGCACAUGAUUAUACAGGGGCAGGGGCUCAAGUUUUUUCCAGUUGUUUAUACAAUAUGGAAAUUAAUGUGAAAUUAAAAAACAAAGUAUUAAUAGAAAGGUAAUGACUGUCCUGUGUAGGUGACAGUGAUAUCGAAUAGGCUAGGCACUCACGAGGCUGGCUGUGGCAAGUGUAAGUGAAAGCAACACGCACUGGCAGGAAGAACAGCAAACGCCGAUGAAGGAAAAGGGUCUUUGCAGUGAUGGGCGUUACCAGAGAGGGCGAUGGCCAGAGGGGGGGGGGGGGGGGCGCGACACAGCGCGGGCCCGCCAGUGCCCCAACGGGGUCCUAGUCUUAUUAUUUUUCUGCCCCUUUGAACUGGAAAAUGGCCCACUUCCCACUGGUGAAAAGUCAUGAAAUUUGGCAGGACGACCGGGCCUGGUGAAAAAUUCGAUAUUCUGAAGUCGCCCAAAAAAUCAAAUGCAAAAUGGCUCCAUAGCGCCCCCUAAGGUGAAAAAUUCACAUGAUUGAGUGUCACGCCUGUACGCUUUGUCAAAAUGACACAAAAUUUGACACACACGUGUAUCUCAAUAAGAUCUACAAAAAAGUCAGUGCGGGCGUAUCUGUCAAAUGUACGGUUAAAGGGCUAUUUCGCAUUUUUUGCCGAUCCGCACACAUUGGAAUUUCGCUAACUCCUCCGAAGGCUUUCGUUCCACCGGCACCAAAUUUGCUCAGGCCAAUCUACACCCCAUGGCCAUUAAAAGUUGUACAAAUCAUGACGCUGCAUCCCACGGUUUACGUUCUAGGGGGCGCCAAAGAUAACCCAGAAAUCCACAUUCUUAAAAGUCGUAUAACUUUUUAUUUUUGUCCUCACUGGCCUCCAAGUUUUCUAGGAUGAUGCAAUGUCCAGCCAUCAACACAUUUGUGAAGGAAUUUUUACUCCCCAAAAGAGCGCCCCCCCAUGGCAGGAGAAAAAAGUCCAUUUUUUCUUGUCUCCUAAGGCGAAAAUUCACACUAUUGACUGUCACGCCUUUACGCUUUGUCAUAUUGACACAAAAAUUGACACACACAUGUAUCUCAAUAAGAUCUACAAAAAAGUCAGUGCGGGCGUAUCUGUCAAAUGUACGGUGAAAGGGCUAUUUCGCAUUUUUUGCCGAUCCGCACACAUUGGAAUUUCGCUAACUCCUCCGAAGGCUUUCGUUCCAAAGGCACCACAUUUGCUGAGGCCAAUCUACACCCCAUGGCCAUUAAAAGUUGUACAAAUCAUGACACUGCACCCCACGGUUUACGUUCUAGGGGGCGCCAAAGAUAACCCAAAAAUCCACAGUCUUAAAAGUCUUAUAACUUUUUAUUUUUGUCCUCACUGGCCUCCAAGUUCUCUAGGAUGAUGCAAUGUCCAGCCAUCAACACAUUUGUGAAGGAAUUUUUACUCGCCAAAAGAGCGCCCCCCCCAUGGCAGGAGAAAAAAGUCCAUUUUUUCUUGUCUCCUAAGGCGAAAAUACACAUUGUUGACUGUCACGCCUUUACGCUUUGUCAAAAUGACACAAAAUUUGACACACACAUGUAUAUCAAUAAGAUCUACAAAAAAGUCAGUGCGGAAGUAUCUGUCAAAUGUACGGUUAAAGGGUUAUUUCGCAUUUUUUGCCGAUCCGCACACAUUGGAAUUUCGCUAACUCCUCCUAAAUCUUUUGUCCCAUCGGCUUCAAAUUUGCUCAGGUCAAUCUACACCCCAUGGCCAUUCAAAAUUGUACAAAUCAUGACGCUGCACCCCACAGUUUACGUUCUAGGGGGCGCCAAAGAGGACCCAAAUAUCCACAUUUUUAAAAGUCUUAUAACUUUUUAUUUUUGUCCUCACUGGCCUCCAAGUUUUCUAGGAUGAUGCAAUGUCCAGCCAUCAACACAUUUGUGAAGGAAUUUUUACUCCCCAAAAGAGCGCCCCCACAUGGCAGGAGAAAAAAGUCCAUUUUUUCUUGUCCCCUAAGGUGAAAAUACACAUUGUUGAGUGUCACGCCUAUACGCUUUGUCAUAUUGACACAAAAUUUGACAAUCACGUGUAUCUCAAUAAGAUCUACGAAAAAGUCAAUGGGCACGUAUCUGUAAAAUGUACGGUUAAAGGGUUAUUUCGCAUUUUUUCCCGAUCCGCACACAUUGGAAUUUCACUAACUCCUCCGAAGGCUUUAGUUCCACCGCCACCAAAUUUGCUCAGGCCAAUCUACACCCCAUGGCCAUUAAAAGUUGUACAAAUCAUGACGUUGCACUCCACGGUUUAGGUUCUAGGGGGCGCCAAAGAUAACCCAAAAAUCCACAUUCUUAAUAGUCUUAUAACUUUUUAUUUUUGUCCUCACUGGCCUCCAAGUUUUCUAGGAUGAUGCAAUGUCCAGCCAUCAACACAUUUGUAAAGGAAUUUUUACUCCCGAAAAGAGCGCCCCCCCAUGGCAGGAGAAAAAAGUCCAUUUUUUCUUGUCCCCUAAGGUGAAAAAACACAUUGUUGACUGUCACGCCUAUACGCUUUGUCAAAAUGACACAAAAUUUGACACACACGUGUAUCUCAAUAAGAUCUACGAAAAAGUCAAUGGGCACGUAUCUGUAAAAUGUACGGUUAAAGGGCUAUUUCGCAUUUUUUGCAGAUCUGCACACAUUGGAAUGUGGCUAACUCCUCCUAAGGCUUUCUUCCCACCGACACCAAAUUUGCUCAAGCCGAUCUACAUCCCAUGGCCAUUCAAAGUUGUAAAAAUCAUGCCGCUGCACCCCAUGGUUUACGUUCUAGGGGGCGCCAAAGAUGACCCAAAUAUCCACAUUCUUAAAAGAAUCCACAUCCCCCCCCCCCCCCCCAAGGCAGGAGAAAAAGUCCAGUUAACCCUGCCCAUCGCUCAAUGGCUCAAUCGCAUCGCUCUCCUGGCAACACCGUAAGGAGGAGCAACUUGCCAUUUGGAUAUAUCCUAGCUGUGUUUGUGCCCUCACUCAUGGUCCAGACUUUUUUCAAAUAGGACAUGUAGUUUGUCUGCAGCGACCGUUUUGGUAGAAACUGCGCCUCCCAUUCAUUAUAAUGGGAAAUGACCACAGACAAGUGCGCACACCAUCUUUGGACCUUGAGUGUGAUGCGAUCGGGAGGGGGAGGCGGUCGCGCUGGGGGCGGCGCGACGCAGCUCGGGCCCGACAGUGCCCCACCGGGGCCCUAGUUAUUUUUCCUCCCCUUUGAACUGGAAAAUGGCCCACUUCCCACUGGCGAAAACUCAUGAAAUUUGGCAGGACGACCGGGCCUGGUGAAAAAUUUGAUAUUCUGAAGUCGCCCAAACAAUAAAAUGCAAAAUGGCUCCAUAGCGCCCCCUAAGGUGAAAAUUCACACUAUUGACUGUCACGCCUGUACGCUUUGUCAUAUUGACACAAAAUUUGACACACACAUGUAUCUCAAUAAGAUCUACAAAAAAGUCAGUGCGGGCGUAUCUGUAAAAUGUACGGAUAAAGGGUUAUUUCGCAUUUUUUGCCGAUCCGCACACAUUGGAAUUUCGCUAACUCCUCCGAAGGCUUUCGUUCCACCGGCACCACAUUUGCUCAGGCCAAUCUACACCCCAUGGCCAUUAAAAGUUAUUCAAAUCAUGACGCUGCACCCCACGGUUUAGGUUCUAGGGGGCGCCAAAGAUAACCCAGAAAUCCACAUUCUUAAAAGUCGUAUAACUUUUUAUUUUUGUCCUCACUGGCCUCCAAGUUUUCUAGGAUGAUGCAAUGUCCAGCCAUCAACACAUUUGUGAAGGAAUUUUUACUCCCCAAAAGAGCGCCCCCCCAUGGCAGGAGAAAAAAGUCCAUUUUUUCUUGUCUCCUAAGGCGAAAAUUCACACUAUUGACUGUCACGCCUUUACGCUUUGUCAUAUUGACACAAAAAUUGACACACACAUGUAUCUCAAUAAGAUCUACAAAAAAGUCAGUGCGGGCGUAUCUGUCAAAUGUACGGUGAAAGGGCUAUUUCGCAUUUUUUGCCGAUCCGCACACAUUGGAAUUUCGCUAACUCCUCCGAAGGCUUUCGUUCCAAAGGCACCACAUUUGCUGAGGCCAAUCUACACCCCAUGGCCAUUAAAAGUUGUACAAAUCAUGACACUGCACCCCACGGUUUACGUUCUAGGGGGCGCCAAAGAUAACCCAAAAAUCCACAGUCUUAAAAGUCUUAUAACUUUUUAUUUUUGUCCUCACUGGCCUCCAAGUUCUCUAGGAUGAUGCAAUGUCCAGCCAUCAACACAUUUGUGAAGGAAUUUUUACUCGCCAAAAGAGCGCCCCCCCCAUGGCAGGAGAAAAAAGUCCAUUUUUUCUUGUCUCCUAAGGCGAAAAUACACAUUGUUGACUGUCACGCCUUUACGCUUUGUCAAAAUGACACAAAAUUUGACACACACAUGUAUCUAAAUAAGAUCUACAAAAAAGUCAGUGCGGAAGUAUCUGUCAAAUGUACGGUUAAAGGGUUAUUUCGCAUUUUUUGCCGAUCCGCACACAUUGGAAUUUCGCUAACUCCUCCUAAAUCUUUUGUCCCAUCGGCUUCAAAUUUGCUCAGGUCAAUCUACACCCCAUGGCCAUUCAAAAUUGUACAAAUCAUGACGCUGCACCCCACAGUUUACGUUCUAGGGGGCGCCAAAGAGGACCCAAAUAUCCACAUUUUUAAAAGUCUUAUAACUUUUUAUUUUUGUCCUCACUGGCCUCCAAGUUUUCUAGGAUGAUGCAAUGUCCAGCCAUCAACACAUUUGUGAAGGAAUUUUUACUCCCCAAAAGAGCGCCCCCACAUGGCAGGAGAAAAAAGUCCAUUUUUUCUUGUCCCCUAAGGUGAAAAUACACAUUGUUGAGUGUCACGCCUAUACGCUUUGUCAUAUUGACACAAAAUUUGACAAUCACGUGUAUCUCAAUAAGAUCUACGAAAAAGUCAAUGGGCACGUAUCUGUAAAAUGUACGGUUAAAGGGUUAUUUCGCAUUUUUUCCCGAUCCGCACACAUUGGAAUUUCACUAACUCCUCCGAAGGCUUUAGUUCCACCGCCACCAAAUUUGCUCAGGCCAAUCUACACCCCAUGGCCAUUAAAAGUUGUACAAAUCAUGACGUUGCACUCCACGGUUUAGGUUCUAGGGGGCGCCAAAGAUAACCCAAAAAUCCACAUUCUUAAUAGUCUUAUAACUUUUUAUUUUUGUCCUCACUGGCCUCCAAGUUUUCUAGGAUGAUGCAAUGUCCAGCCAUCAACACAUUUGUAAAGGAAUUUUUACUCCCGAAAAGAGCGCCCCCCCAUGGCAGGAGAAAAAAAGUCCAUUUUUUCUUGUCCCCUAAGGUGAAAAAACACAUUGUUGACUGUCACGCCUAUACGCUUUGUCAAAAUGACACAAAAUUUGACACACACGUGUAUCUCAAUAAGAUCUACGAAAAAGUCAAUGGGCACGUAUCUGUAAAAUGUACGGUUAAAGGGCUAUUUCGCAUUUUUUGCAGAUCUGCACACAUUGGAAUGUGGCUAACUCCUCCUAAGGCUUUCUUCCCACCGACACCAAAUUUGCUCAAGCCGAUCUACAUCCCAUGGCCAUUCAAAGUUGUAAAAAUCAUGCCGCUGCACCCCAUGGUUUACGUUCUAGGGGGCGCCAAAGAUGACCCAAAUAUCCACAUUCUUAAAAGAAUCCACAUCCCCCCCCCCCCCAAGGCAGGAGAAAAAGUCCAGUUAACCCUGCCCAUCGCUCAAAGGCUCAAUCGCAUCGCACGCCAGGCAACACCGUAAGGAGGAGCAACUUGCCAUUUGGAUAUAUCCUAGCUGUGUUUGUGCCCUCACUCAUGGUCCAGACUUUUUUCAAAUAGGACAUGUAGUUUGUCUGCAGCGACCGUUUUGGUAGAAACUGCGCCUCCCAUUCAUUAUAAUGGGAAAUGACCACAGACAAGUGCGCACACCAUCUUUGGACCUUGAGUGUGAUGCGAUCGGGAGGGGGAGGCGGUCGCGCUGGGGGCGGCGCGACGCAGCUCGGGCCCGACAGUGCCCCACCGGGGCCCUAGUUAUUUUUCCUCCCCUUUGAACUGGAAAAUGGCCCACUUCCCACUGGCGAAAACUCAUGAAAUUUGGCAGGACGACCGGGCCUGGUGAAAAAUUUGAUAUUCUGAAGUCGCCCAAACAAUAAAAUGCAAAAUGGCUCCAUAGCGCCCCCUAAGGUGAAAAUUCACACUAUUGACUGUCACGCCUGUACGCUUUGUCAUAUUGACACAAAAUUUGACACACACAUGUAUCUCAAUAAGAUCUACAAAAAAGUCAGUGCGGGCGUAUCUGUAAAAUGUACGGAUAAAGGGUUAUUUCGCAUUUUUUGCCGAUCCGCACACAUUGGAAUUUCGCUAACUCCUCCGAAGGCUUUCGUUCCACCGGCACCACAUUUGCUCAGGCCAAUCUACACCCCAUGGCCAUUAAAAGUUAUUCAAAUCAUGACGCUGCACCCCACGGUUUACGUUCUAGGGGGCGCCAAAGAUAACCCUAAAAUCCACAUAUUUAAAAGUCUUAUAACUUUUUAUUUUUGCCCUCACUGGCCUCCAAGUUUUCUAGGAUGAUGCAAUGUCCAGCCAUCAACACAUUUGUGAAGGAAUUUUUACUCCCCAAAAGAGCGCCCCCCCAUGGCAGGAGAAAAAAGUCCAUUUUUUCUUGUCCCCUAAGGUGAAAAUACACAUUGUUGAGUGUCACGCCUGUACGCUUUGUCAAAAUGACACAAAAAUUGACACACACAUGUAUCUCAAUAAGAUCUACGAAAAAGUCAAUGCGCGCGUAUCUGUCAAAUGUACGGUUAAAGGGUUAUUUCGCAUUUUUUGCCGAUUCGCACACAUUGGAAUUUCGCUAACUCCUCCGAAGGCUUUCGUUCCACCGGCACCACAUUUGCUCAGGCCAAAUUACACCCCAUGGCCAUUAAAAGUUAUUCAAAUCAUGACGCUGCACCCCACGGUUUAGGUUCUAGGGGGCGCCAAAGAUAACCCAAAAAUCCACAUAUUUAAAAGUCUUAUAACUUUUUAUUUUUGCCCUCACUGGCCUCCAAGUUUUCUAGGAUGAUGCAAUGUCCAGCCAUCAACACAUUUGUGAAGGAAUUUUUAAUCCCCAAAAGAGCGCCCCCCCAUGGCAGGAGAAAAAAGUCCAUUUUUUCUUGUCCCAUAAGAUGAAAAAACACAUUGUUGACUGUCAUACCUGUACGCUUUGUCAUAUUGACACAAAAUUUGACAAUCACAUGUAUCUCAAUAAGAUCUACGAAAAAGUCAAUGCGCGCGUAUCUGUAAAAUGUACGGUUAAAGGGCUAUUUUGCAUUUUUUGCCGAUUCGCACACAUUCGAAUGUGGCUAACUCCUCCUAAGGCUUUCGUCCCACUGACACCAAAUUUGCUCAGGCCAAUCUACACCCCAUGGCCAUUCAAAGUUUUAAAAAUCAUGACGCUGCACCCCACGGUUUAUGUUCUAGGGGGCGCCAAAGAUUACCCAAAUAUCCACAUUCUUAAAAGAAUCCACAUCCCCCAUCCCCCAACCCCCAUGGCAGGAGAAACAGUCAAGUUUUUCCUGCCCAUCACUCAAUGGCUCAAUCGCAUCACUCUCCCGGCAACACCGUAACGAGGAGCAACUUGCCGUUUGGAUAUAUCCUAGCUGUGUUUGUGCCCUCACUCAUGGUCCAGACUUUUUUCAAAUAGGACAUGUAGUUUGUCUGCAGCGAGUGUUUUGGUAGAAACUGCGCCUCCCAUUCAUUAUAAUGGGAAAUGACCACAGACAAGUGCGCACACCAUCUUUGGACCUUGAGUGUGACGCGAUCGGGAGGGGGAGGCGGUCGCGCUGGGGGCGGCGCAACGCGGCUCGGGCCCGACAGUGCCCCACCGGGGCCCUAGUUAUUUUUCCUCCCCUUUGAACUGGAAAAUGGCCCACUUCCCACUGGCGAAAACUCAUGAAAUUUGGCAGGACGACCGGGCCUGGUGAAAAAUUUGAUAUUCCGAAGUCGCCCAAACAAGAAAAUGCAAAAUGGCUCCAUAGCGCCCCCUAAGGUGAAAAAUUCACCUGACGCCUGUACGCUUUGUCAAAAUGACACAAAAAUUGACACACACAUGUAUCUCAAUAAGAUCUACAAAAAAGUCAGUGCGGGCGUAUCUGUCAAAUGUACGGUUAAAGGGUUAUUUCGCAUUUUUUGCCGAUCCGCACACAUUGGAAUUUCGCUAACUCCUCCGAAGGCUUUCGUUCCACCGGCACCACAUUUGCUCAGGCCAAUCUACACCCCAUGGCCAUUAAAAGUUAUUCAAAUCAUGACGCUGCACCCCACGGUUUAGGUUCUAGGGGGCGCCAAAGAUAGCACUAAAAUCCACAUAUUUCAAAGUCUUAUAACUUUUUAUUUUUGUCCUCACUGGCCUCCAAGUUUUCUAGGAUGAUGCAAUGUCCAGCCAUCAACACAUUUGUGAAGGAAUUUUUACUCCCCAAAAGAGCGCCCCCCCAUGGCAGGAGAAAAAAGUCCAUUUUUUCUUGUCCCCUAAGGUGAAAAUACACAUUGUUGAGUGUCACGCCUGUACGCUUUGUCAAAAUGACACAAAAAUUGACACACACAUGUAUCUCAAUAAGAUCUACAAAAGAGUCAAUGGGCGCGUAUCUGUCAAAUGUACGGUUAAAGGGUUAUUCCGCAUUUUUUGCCGAUUCGCACACAUUGGAAUUUCGCUAACUCCUCCGAAGGCUUUCGUUCCACCGGCACCACAUUUGCUCAGGCCAAAUUACACCCCAUGGCCAUUAAAAGUUAUUCAAAUCAUGACGCUGCACCCCACGGUUUACGUUCUAGGGGGCGCCAAAGAUAACCCAAAAAUCCACAUUUUUAAAAGUCUUUUAACUUUUUAUUUUUGUCCUCACUGGCCUCCAAGUUUUCUAGGAUGAUGCAAUGUCCAGCCAUCAACACAUUUGUGAAGGAAUUUUUACUCCCUAAAAGAGCGCCCCCCCCAUGGCAGGAGAAAAAAGUCCAUUUUUUCUUGUCCCCUAAGGUGAAAAUACACAUUGUUGACUGUCACGCCUGUACGCUUUGGCAAAAUGACACAAAAAUUGACAAUCAUGUGUAUCUCAAUUAGAUCUACGAAAAAGUCAAGAGCGCGUAUCUGUAUAAUGUACGGUAAAAGGGCUAUUUUGCAUUUUUUGCCGAUUCGCACAUAUUGGAAUUUCGCUAACUCCUCCUAAGGCUUUCGUCCCACUGACACCAAAUUUGCUCAGGCCAAUCUACACUCCAUGGCCAUUCAAAGUUGUAAAAAUCAUGACGCGGCACCCCACGGUUUACGUUUUAGGGGGCGCCAAAGAUGACCCAAAUAUACAUUACAGUAGACAAAGUAGUUUUGCCCACUGAGUGGCGCCAAAGGGACUUGUCUGUGGAGUCUGUGAGUCACUAUUGGCCGUUUUUGACUACUUUAGAUUUUACCUUUAUAUUUCCUCUUACAAAAUUUUUACCUUGCCUUGCCUGGUAUCAUUUUUUUCAGCACAACCUCACCUGUGUCAAUUUACAGUUAUUUUAUCAUUUUGACAUACUAUAUUUACACAUUGGACCCAAAUUCACACACAAAACAUAAAAUCCGAGUGGAAAAAAGUAACGUUUUUACUGUGAAAACCACAAAUAUGUGUGAUGAACUGUUUUUAAAACUUAAACUUCAAAUAAAAAUUGUAAACUUCAAAACAUAUGCAAAUUUUUAACAAAGAACAUAGUAAUUUACCUCUAUUUACAUCAAAAUGCAGGCAAUGGCCCAGGUGUUCUUUUUAAAAUUAUUUACAAAACACUGUAUAGUCUCACAAAUGUCACUUUUUAUUUAUGCCACUACAAAAAAACAUGAUGUAAAUGAUGCAUGAUGUAAAACAUGAUGUAAAAAACUUGUGUAGAUCCUCCUCUAUGUCAGUCCAUGUGUAAUUUUUCCAUAAUUCUUUGUUUUUUGCAGCAUUUUUGUUAGUGUAACUGCAGAUUGUGCUGACAGUGUCUAUGGCAAAAAAAAAAAAAAAACUGAAAAUGCCUCAACAUGAACCCCUGGUGGUCUCUGAGGGUGAAACCUGCUAACUGCUGCAGCUCUGUCAGCUUCAGUCUCCCAUGCAGAGCUCAGAGCGCAUGUGUGGCUCUGCACCCUUAGCAGCGUUGCUAACUCCUCAGUAAGGAAAGCCUGCUUCAUGUCAGAGUCUCUAAACUCCAGAAGAAGUCGAUAAAAGUCACUUUCUUUCUAAAAAAACGUUGUUAGGGGGUCUGAAAAGUCAUUGAAUCUAACAACAAAGUCGCUAGGUUUGCAACUACGUGUCCCAGACUGCAUCCCUGCUGAGAGUCCCUCCCUCCCUUCUCAUAUUGCAGGAAGAACGUAAGCGCCCGCCCCUUGUCAAUCAGUCACCAUAUAAUUUUGGAUUGGUUGUUGUGGUGAAGUUUUCCACCAAUAGGAGAGAUGUCGUGGUGUGUUUUUUUUCCUUUGGCAAGCCUUUUCCGCCUGUAAGACCUGUCGCUAAUGUCUGCAUGCUAUGUUUUCCUGUCUCAUACAGCGCGAUCGAGCGCCGAACGUGAUCAAAAUAAGCAGAAAACAAGUAUCGCGGACAUAAUUUAUCAUAACUCUGGUUUUAUUUGGCCUAUCAACACAAUUUAAAAACUGGUAUAUAGGUUGAGGUCCUCACUUUUGAGAUAAGUUGAAACGGAGAGUCAACGAGGCUCCGUCUUGCAGCUACAUCCGGUUAAAUAUGUCAUGUGACUUGAACGCACACACACACACACACACACACACACACACACACACACACACACAGACACACACACACACGCACACACACACACUCAGAGUCUGGUUUUUAGCACCUGCAAAAACAUGCUAUUUACAUAUUUGACAAGAAUGCAGAGGCUCCUUUUGCCCCUGAAAAAAAUCAAAUUUCAAACACAACUUGACUGGUCAUUUCUCCAAAAGACAACCAUGAAGCUCCAUCCAAACCUGAAGCAGGCAGUUGGUGCAUGUGUACAGUAACCUGAGGGGAGUGAGGUGACUGCUUCUGAGGAGAACAUGAGCAGUGAAGAUUCACCUUAGAGCUAGAACAGAGACGUGCACAUGAUUAUACAGGGGCAGGGGCUCAAGUUUUUUCCAGUUGUUUAUACAAUAUGGAAAUUAAUGUGAAAUUAAAAAACAAAGUAUUAAUAGAAAGGUAAUGACUGUCCUGUGUAGGUGACAGUGAUAUCCAAUAGGCUAGGCACUCACGAGGCUGGCUGUGGCAAGUGUAAGUGAAAGCAACACGCACUGGCAGGAAGAACAGCAAACGCCGAUGAAGGAAAAGGGUCUUUGCAGUGAUGGGCGUUACCAGAGAGGGCGAUGGCCAGAGGACACAAAUGGGACGGGGAGGCAGCGCGUUGGGGGGGGGGGCGCGACACAGCUCGGGCCCGCCAGUGCCCCAACGGGGUCCUAGUUAGGGCCCGAGCGUAGCUGCUAAGCAGCUGCGAGAGCCCUCUUGUUCCUGUAGUUUCCUUCUUUUGUUAUUAGGGCCCGAGCGUAGCUGCUAAGCAGCUGCGAGAGCCCUAUUAUUCCCCAAGUGGUUUUUCUUUGUUUCUUUUUUCUUUUUCCUCCCCUUUGAACUGGAAAAUGGCCCACUUCCCACUGGCGAAAACUCAUGAAAUUUGGCAGGACGACCGGGCCUGGUGAAAAAUUUGAUAUUCCGAAGUCGCCCAAACAAUAAAAUGCAAAAUGGCUCCAUAGCGCCCCCUAAGGUGAAAAUUCACAUGACGGCUGUACGCUUUGUCAUAUUGACACAAAAAUUGACACACACAUGUAUCUCAAUAAGAUCUACAAAAAAGUCAGUGCAGGCGUAUCUGUCAAAUGUACGGUUAAUGGGUUAUUUUGCAUUUUUUGCAGAUCUGCACACAUUGGAAUUUCGCUAACUCCUCCGAAGGCUUUCGUUCCACCGGCACCACAUUUGCUCAGGCCAAUCUACACCCCAUGGCCAUUAAAAGUUAUUCAAAUCAUGACGCUGCACCCCACGGUUUAGGUUCUAGGGGGCGCCAAAGAUAACACUAAAAUCCACAUAUUCAAAAGUCUUAUAACUUUUUAUUUUUGCCCUCACUGGCCUCCAAGUUUUCUAGGAUGAUGCAAUGUCCAGCCAUCAACACAUUUGUGAAGGAAUUUUUACUCCCCAAAAGAGCGCCCCCCCAUGGCAGGAGAAAAAAUUCCAUUUUUUCUUGUCCCCUAAGGUGAAAAUACACAUUGUUGAGUGUCACGCCUGUACGCUUUGUCAAAAUGACACAAAAAUUGACACACACAUGUAUCUCAAUAAGAUCUACAAAAAAGUCCAUGCGCGCGUAUCUGUCAAAUGUACGGUUAAAGGGUUAUUCCGCAUUUUUUGCCGAUUCGCACACAUUGGAAUUUCGCUAACUCCUCCGAAGGCUUUCGUUCCACCGGCACCACAUUUGCUCAGGCCAAUCUACACCCCAUGGCCAUUAAAAGUUAUUCAAAUCAUGACGCUGCACCCCACGGUUUACGUUCUAGGGGGCGCCAAAGAUAACCCAAAAAUCCACAUUUUUAAAAGUCUUAUAACUUUUUAUUUUUGUCCUCACUGGCCUCCAAGUUUUCUAGGAUGAUGCAAUGUCCAGCCAUCAACACAUUUGUGAAGGAAUUUUUACUCCCUAAAAGAGCGCCCCCCAUGGCAGGAGAAAAAAUUCCAUUUUUUCUUGUCCCCUAAGGUGAAAAUACACAUUGUUGACUGUCACGCCUGUACGCUUUGGCAAAAUGACACAAAAAUUGACAAUCAUGUGUAUCUCAAUUAGAUCUACGAAAAAGUCAAAGAGCGCGUAUCUGUAUAAUGUACGGUAAAAGGGCUAUUUUGCAUUUUUUGCCGAUUCGCACACAUUGGAAUUUCGCUAACUCCUCCUAAGGCUUUCGUCCCACUGACACCAAAUUUGCUCAGGCCAAUCUACACUCCAUGGCCAUUCAAAGUUGUAAAAAUCAUGACGCUGCACCCCACGGUUUACGUUUUAGGGGGCGCCAAAGAUGACCCAAAUAUACAUUACAGUAGACAAAGUAGUUUUGCCCACUGAGUGGCGCCAAAGGGGACUGUCUGUGCUCUGUCUGUGGAGUCUGUGAGUCACUAUUGGCCGUUUUUGACUACUUUAGAUUUUACCUUUAUAUUUCCUCUUACAAAAUUUUUACCUUGCCUUGCCUGGUAUCAUUUUUUUCAGCACAACCUCACCUGUGUCAAUUUACAGUUAUUUUAUCAUUUUGACAUACUAUAUUUACACAUUGGACCCAAAUUCACACACAAAACAUAAAAUCCGAGUGGAAAAAAGUAACGUUUUUACUGUGAAAACCACAAAUAUGUGUGAUGAACUGUUUUUAAAACUUAAACUUCAAAUAAAAAUUGUAAACUUCAAAACAUAUGCAAAUUUUUAACAAAGAACAUAGUAAUUUACCUCUAUUUACAUCAAAAUGCAGGCAAUGGCCCAGGUGUUCUUUGUAAAAUUAUUUACAAAACACUGUAUAGUCUCACAAAUGUCACUUUUUAUUUAUGCCACUACAAAAAAACAUGAUGUAAAUGAUGCAUGAUGUAAAACAUGAUGUAAAAAACUUGUGUAGAUCCUCCUCUAUGUUAGUCCAUGUGUAAUUUUUCCAUAAUUCUUUGUUUUUUGCAGAAUUUUUGUUAGUGUAACUGCAGAUUGUGCUGACAGUGUCUAUGGCAAAAAAAAAAAAAUAAAAAAUGAAAAUGCCUCAACAUGAACCCCUGGUGGUCUCUGAGGGUGAAACCUGCUAACUGCUGCAGCUCUGUCAGCUUCAGUCUCCCAUGCAGAGCUCGGAGCGCAUGUGUGGCUCUGCACCCUUAGCAGCGUUGCUAACUCCUCAGUAAGGAAAGCCUGCUUCAUGUCAGAGUCUCUAAACUCCAGAAGAAGUCGAUAAAAGUCCCUUUCUUUCUAAAAAAAAGUCGUUAGGGGGUCUGAAAAGUCAUUGAAUCUAACAACAAAGUCGCUAGGUUUGCAACUACGUGUCCCAGACUGCAUCCCUGCUGAGAGUCCCUCCCUCCCUUCUCAUAUUGCAGGAAGAACGUAAGCGCCCGCCCCUUGUCAAUCAGUCACCAUAUAAUUUUGGAUUGGUUGUUGUGGUGAAGUUUUCCACCAAUAGGAGAGAUGUUGUGGUGUGUUUUUUUUUUCCUUUGGCAAGCCUUUUCCGCCUGUAAGACCUGUCGCUAAUGUCUGCAUGCUAUGUUUUCCUGUCUCAUACAGCGCGAUCGAGCGCCGAACGUGAUCAAAAUAAGCAGAAAAAAGUAUCGCAGACAUAAUUUAUCAUAACUCUGGUUUUAUUUGGCCUAUCAACACAAUUUAAAAACUGGUAUAUAGGUUGAGGUCCUCACUUUUGAGAUAAGUUGAAACGGAGAGUCAACGAGGCUCCGUCUUGCAGCUACAUCCGGUUAAAUAUGUCAUGUGACUUGAACGCACACACACACACACACACACACACACACACACACACACACACACACACACGCACACGCACACACACACACUCAGAGUCUGGUUUUUAGCACCUGCAAAAACAUGCUAUUUACAUAUUUGACAAGAAUGCAGAGGCUCCUUUUGCCCCUGAAAAAAAUCAAAUUUCAAACACAACUUGACUGGUCAUUUCUCCAAAAGACAACCAUGAAGCUCCAUCCAAACCUGAAGCAGGCAGUUGGUGCAUGUGUACAGUAACCUGAGGGGAGUGAGGUGACUGCUUCUGAGGAGAACAUGAGCAGUGAAGAUUCACCUUAGAGCUAGAACAGAGACGUGCACAUGAUUAUACAGGGGCAGGGGCUCAAGUUUUUUCCAGUUGUUUAUACAAUAUGGAAAUUAAUGUGAAAUUAAAAAACAAAGUAUUAAUAGAAAGGUAAUGAAUGUCCUGUGUAGGUGACAGUGAUAUCCAAUAGGCUAGGCACUCACGAGGCUGGCUGUGGCAAGUGUAAGUGAAAGCAACAUGCACUGGCAGGAAGAACAGCAAACGCCGAUGAAGGAAAAGGGUCUUUGCAGUGAUGGGCGUUACCAGAGAGGGCGAUGGCCAGAGGACGCGAAUAGGACGGGGAGGCAGCGCGUUGGGGGGGGGGACGCGACACAGCUCGGGCCCGCCAGUGCCCCAACGGGGUCCUAGUUAGGGCCCGAGCCAGCUGCAGAGCAGCCGGGCGUAGGCCCUAUUAUUCCCCAAGUGGUUUUUUAGGGCCCGAGCCAGCUGCAGAGCAGCCGGGCGUAGGCCCUAUUAUUCCCCAAGUGGUUUUUCUUUGUUUCUUUCUUUCUUUCUUUCUUUCUUUCUUUCUUUCUUCUUUUUCCUCCCCUUUGAACUGGAAAAUGGCCCACUUCCCACUGGCGAAAACUCAUGAAAUUUGGCAGGACGACCGGGCCUGGUGAAAAAUUCGAUAUUCUGAAGUCGCCCAAACAAUAAAAUGCAAAAUGGCUCCAUAGCGCCCCCUAAGGUGGAAAUUCACACUAUUGACUGUCACGCCUGUACGCUUUGUCAUAUUGACACAAAAAUUGACACACAUAUGUAUCUCAAUAAGAUCUACAAAAAAGUCAGUGCGGGCGUAUCUGUCAAAUGUACGGUUAAAGGGUUAUUCCGCAUUUUUUGCCGAUCCGCACACAUUGGAAUUUCGCUAACUCCUCCGAAGGCUUUUGUUCCACCGGCACCACAUUUGCUCAGGCCAAUCUACACCCCAUGGCCAUUAAAAGUUAUUCAAAUCAUGACGCUGCACCCCACGGUUUAGGUUCUAGGGGGCGCCAAAAAUAACCCUAAAAUCCACAUAUUUAAAAGUCUUAUAACUUUUUAUUUUUGUCCUCACUGGCCUCCAAGUUUUCUAGGAUGAUGCAAUGUCCAGCCAUCAACACAUCUGUGAAGGAAUUUUUACUCGCCAAAAGAGCGCCCCCCAUGGCAGGAGAAAAAAGUCAAUUUUUUCUUGUCCCCUAAGGUGAAAAUACACAUUGUAGAGUGUCACGCCUGUACGCUUUGGCAAAAUGACACAAAAAUUGACACACACAUGUAUCUCAAUAAGAUCUACAAAAAAGUCCAUGCGCGCGUAUCUGUCAAAUGUACGGUUAAAGGGUUAUUCCCCUUUUUUGCCGAUACGCACACAUUGGAAUUUCGCUAACUCCUCCGAAGGCUUUCGUUCCACCGGCACCACAUUUGCUCAGGCCAAUCUACACCCCAUGGCCAUUAAAAGUUAUUCAAAUCAUGAUGCUGCACCCCAUGGUUUAGGUUCUAGGGGGCGCCAAAAAUAACCCAAAAAUCCACAUUCUUAAAUGUUUUAUAACUUUUUUUUUUUUGUCCUCACUGGCCUCCAAGUUUUCUAGGAUGAUGCAAUGUCCAGCCAUCAACACAUUUGUGAAGGAAUUUUUACUCCCCAAAAGAGCGCCCCC
Molecule: long non-coding RNA, 20567 nt
Filed under: Xyrichtys novacula (pearly razorfish)
Lineage: Eukaryota; Metazoa; Chordata; Actinopteri; Labriformes; Labridae
Source: RNAcentral